GGUUUCUUGUAAGUAUAGGAGAUUUAACCUGCCCACUGAAAUUUAUUUGAAGGGCCGCGGUAUUUUGACUGUGCGAAGGUAGCAUAAUCAUUAGUCUUUUAAUUGGAGGCUGGUAUGAAUGGUUGGACGAGGUGAAUACUGUUUUAUAAUAAUUUAGUAUUGAAGUUGGGAUUUAAGUAAAAAAACUUAAAUAAUGUUAAGGGACGAGAAGACCCUAUAGAGUUUAAUAAAUAUUUAUGGUAGUAAGGUUAUGAAGUUUGUAUUUAUUAUAGUAAAUAUUUAUUUGGUUGGGGCGAUUGGAGGAUAAAAGAAACUCUUCUUUAUUUUGAAUAUUUAUAAGUAGAUUUAAGAUCCAUUAAUUAAAGUAGUGAUUGAAAGAUAAAAUUACCUUAGGGAUAACAGCAUAAUUUUUUUUGAGAGUUCUUAUCAAGAAAGAAGAUUGUGACCUCGAUGUUGGAUUAAGAUGAAGGUUGGGUGUAGCUGUUCAACAAAUUAGGUCUGUUCGACCUUUAAAAUCUUACA
RNAcentral lists this ribosomal RNA (522 nucleotides) under Oligonicella sp. 2 JMR-2016. Its description in RNAcentral is "partial 16S ribosomal RNA". It matches the Rfam family "Bacterial large subunit ribosomal RNA", at positions 1831 to 2600 of the family's 2925-position model. Lineage: Eukaryota; Metazoa; Arthropoda; Insecta; Mantodea; Thespidae. The record is from RNAcentral.